GAAAAGAAAAGAAAAGAAAAGAAAAGAAAAGAAAAGAAAAGACCUCAGAUACAAUUUUUAAUAAUGCCUGUUUACUGAAAAUUCAACUCUGCACUAAUUUAACACACAUAAAUGUUUAUGGAAAUUCUGACUCGCAGGGGCUCUGGUGGAGGCCUGAGAGAACUGGGCGGAGAGGGAGCAGAUGAAGCUAUAAUUUACAGCCUUCAUGAUAUAUCUACAUUGUCCUUGAAUACCAAAGGAGCUGAGAAACUUUCACUGGGCAGCCAAAAUCCCUCCUUCAAGCAACUCCCUCUGUUUCCCACUGGUGCUUGGAAACAGGAGGACUUGAGCCCUGGUGCUCUUUGCUAGUCACCGCACCCUGUGUCUGAUCUUUUCCAAUUACUUCUGUGUUACAGUUAGUAUUGAAUUUAUUGUGCUAGGAAACUGUCUGGCUACAGAUAUGAAAUUAAUAAUGAAAUAAUUAGGAGAGACAUUAUUUUAUUUCCUUCAAAGUAUUCAAAGUAUUAAAAUGAAUGUUAGUUUAGUAUUUGAGAAGAAAGGCCACGAUUUUAUAUUAAAUAGAGAGUGGCAAUUAAAGAACUAGCUGCCACCACUAGCACUACCUGACCUCUACAGUCUUACAUGGAGACUGUGAGCUAGCUGGCAUCACACCUAGUGAGCUCACAUGGCAGAAGAGCUUUGUGACAAAACUGUCAUUAGACCUGCACAAACUCAGGCAUGCAUAUUUUCAAGAAUGAGAGUGGUCCAACAACCCCAACUGUCUCAACAUGUCUUCACAGGGGAGAUGCUCAAGCUCACUAAUCAUCUUCAUGUCCCUCUGCACUCUUUUCAGUAUGUCCACGUCCUUCUUAUGAUCGGAGUCCCAGAGCGGGAUGCAGCACUGCAGGUGGGAUCUCAUGAGAUCAGAGUUAUGGAGCAGAAUCCCCUCCCUCGACCUGCUGGCCACAUUGCUUUUGAUGCAGCCCAGGACAUGGUUGACUCUCUGGGAUGCCAGUGCACAUUGCUGGGUCAUGUUGAGCUUUUCAUCUACCGACACCCUCAAGUCCAUCUCUACAGGGGGCUGCUCUCAGUCCACUUAUUGUCCAGACUGUAUCUAUGUUUGGAAUUGCCCCAACUCAGGUGCAGGACCUUGCACUUGGCCUUAUUGAACUUAGUAAGAUUCACACAGGCCCACUUCUCAAGCUUGUCAAGGUCCCUCUGGGUGGCAUCCAUUCUUUCUAGAGUAUCCAACAGCUUGGUGUUGUCAGCAAACUUGAUGAGGGUACACUCAAUCCGACUGUCCAUGUUGCUGACAAAGUUGUUAAAUAAUACUCAUUGCAGUAUGGAUCUCUGAGGGUCCCAAGUCAUCACUGUUUUCCACCUGGGCAUCAGGCUGUUGGCUGCAACUCUCUGAGUGCAGCCACUUCUUUAUCCACUGAGCAUUCCACCCGUUAAAUCCAUGUCUCUCCAGUGUAGGAGACAGUGGUAGUGUGGGACAGUAUCGAAUGCUUUGCACAAGGCGAGAGAUUAUGUCAGUCAUUCUUCCCCCAUCCAUAAAUGCUGUAACCCCAUCAGAGAAGGCCACCAAACUGGGCAGGCAUGAUUUGAACUUCACAAAGCCAUGUUGGUUGUCACCAAUCACCUCCCUGUCCUCCAUAUGCCUCAGCAUAGUUUCCAGGAGGAUCUGCUUCAUGAUCUUGCCAGGCACCGAGGUGAGAAUGACUGGCCUAUAGUUCCCCAAGUCUUCAUUUUUUAUCUUUUUUAAAAAUGGGGGUUAUAAAUGCCUUUUCCAGUCAUUGGGAACUUUACCAGUUCAAGUGAAGGAGUAUCUCAUUUAACCAUUACUAAUCUCCUUGUUUGGCCUGAUAACACCAUCACUUUCUCUUGGGACUGCCAGUUUAUUUUGUAACUGAGCAAGAUCCAUCUGUCUUGUGUAAAGAAAGCUAAAGUAGAUUGUGGUUUUUUCUCACUCAUUAAGUAAACCUAGUAAAGCUCCUUUCAUUGCUGGAUACCUAGUAUUCUAGAAUUGUCCUUGAAGUAUUUAUAGUGAUCUUCAAUUCUACUCAAAAUUUACAGUAUCAUAAUUAUCCAAAGUGCUCACAGCACAACACACCAUUAGAGCUGUUAUUGCUACUUCAUGCAACCAUUCCCAAACAAUACAAAAUAUAGGAGAGAAUUACCUGUAACAGUAACCCACACUAGAUACAGGCAUGUCUGAAAAAGUGAGUUUUAUAAAGUGCAAAAAUACUUAACAGGUAUCUAGACAAUUGAUAUUUAAGGCCCAAAUAAUCCACAUGGAUUAAGUUUCACAUAUAAGACGUGAUAACACUUCUAAGCUUUGUUACAAGGGACCUAAAGGUAAAGUGAUAGUUUUCUUGUGCGUUUAAUAUACUGAGACAGGCAUAAUUUUUAAAGUAUAAUCUAUAGAAUAAGGAACAGUUAAAUUUGACACUACUUGCAAUCUGUUUGUUUAGCUAAAAUCUGUUCUGUCAUAUCUGUUUAUCAUGAUUUAUUGUUACCUCUUCAAAGAGCAGUGAUGAAGAUACUGAAACUUUCCACUAUUCUAAUGGUUAAGUCACCAAAGAUACAGUAUAGUAAAUGAAGAAGUGAUCUUCAAACAUACUCAUAGAUAAUAGGACUUUUAGGAAUUUCCAUAGCAUUUUGGAGGAUGUACAUAUAAAAACUACAAUCUAAAACUCCUUUGAGAAAUUAACUGGUAGUUUUUUCAUUAGUGCAAAUUAUUCCUAACUACACAAUGAUUGUAAUCUGCUAGAUGAAACUUGCUUGGGCCUUCUUUAAAAGUACUGCAUCGCACAUACCAACUGAAAUAAUUCAAACCUUUCACAGACCAUGCUUGCAGUAAGUGGAAAAAAUGUAUAUUCUUAUCUGUCUUUUGCACGGGGCAUGAAGAUUUAGGUAAAACACAUAAGGACAAAUUAAAUUCCUGACAAAAGUUAAUGAAUUAAUUGCAGGGGAGAGUGAGAAGUAUGGCUAAGGUUGUAAUACACUAUGCUUUCUAGUACAUGUAACUUCAAGCUAAAGGAAUUUUCAUUAAGAAUAAAUGUUAUUUUUCCUCUC
Long non-coding RNA from Pipra filicauda (Wire-tailed manakin), 3057 nucleotides. RefSeq lists it as uncharacterized. The transcript has 2 exons. Lineage: Eukaryota; Metazoa; Chordata; Aves; Passeriformes; Pipridae. The record is from RefSeq and is a predicted model, not a curated record.